Molecule: long non-coding RNA, 606 nt
Organism: Homo sapiens (human)
Lineage: Eukaryota; Metazoa; Chordata; Mammalia; Primates; Hominidae
Gene: JAKMIP2-AS2
Product: JAKMIP2 antisense RNA 2
Exons: 3
Source: RefSeq, a predicted model, not a curated record
CAGUUCUCACCUUGAUGAUUUUAUAAAUACCUGUGCAAUCAUUUAAGGAUGCUGUUAUAACUUGCUAUCACAGGAUUCAGGUCCAAGAACCCUCUCUUAGGAUCUGCACUGGGACCUACCCCUUUUUGGCAACAUGUUCUUGGCAACCACGAAGGGACUAUCCUGAGGAGAUCCCUGACCCAAAGGAAAUAGACUGCAGAACCAAUUGGCUGACUUUGGGGCGACCAUCUUGCCCAGACACCACAUGCUGAAACACUUGGUCGGAAGGAUCAUUCCACCCCACUUUGAGUGGAUCAAAGAUGACAAGGCCCAAGUAGGGGCAAGUUUGAGCCUGGCCAGUUCAAUAUUGGGUGCUAACUGGAGUGGCUAAUGUCUAUGUUUUGUCACACGUAUUUUGCUCUGCUCAGAAUGGAAGAAGAUGGUUUUCCUUUGUGUUGCGGUUUGGCCCCCAGGGCUGUGGUGUGGCGAGCCAAGUCACUAGGGCUGCCCAAGGAAAGGGAACACAGAAGCCUGGCGUGCUGGCAAAAGGGUGGGAAUUUCUUACCAGUCAGGCUUUGGGCCUCCCUGUGUGCAUAACUGGUUGAAUAAAUGGCAAAAAUAACUGUU